This 238-nucleotide ribosomal RNA is filed under the name uncultured bacterium. Its description in RNAcentral is "partial 16S ribosomal RNA". It matches the Rfam family "Bacterial small subunit ribosomal RNA", at positions 524 to 762 of the family's 1533-position model. The record is from RNAcentral.
UACGUAGGGGGCGAGCGUUGUCCGGAAUCAUUGGGCGUAAAGAGCGUGUAGGCGGCUCGGUAAGUCCGCCGUGAAACCUGAGGCUCAACCUCAGGCUUGCGGUGGAUACUGUCGUGCUAGAGGAUGGUAGAGGCGAGUGGAAUUCCCGGUGUAGCGGUGAAAUGCGCAGAUAUCAGGAAGAACACCCGUGGCGAAGGCGGGUCUCUGGACAGUUCCUGACACUGAGGCACGAAGGCCA